AUUUCUACUGCAGAGUGUUGACCUAGAUUAACUCUUUUCUUCACAAGCGUACCUUCAAAGUCAUCUUUAAAAUUAAGGGGUCAUGAAUGUAUUCACCAGGAUUGAGCCCUUGCUGCUGUUUUAGUAAGUAUUGUUAUCUCGACCCCACAAAUUACACCAAUUGACCUUUUCCCUCUCCUCCCCUCCCCUGCCCUGUGCCCAAGCCACUGCAUGAGGGGCCUGAGCGAGGGGCUCCGACCGGAGCAAGCCCUGACACUCCCCCAUGCCAGACCUGUGCAGAUCCUGACGCUCGCCCGCCAGCCCCGCCUCGUCCCAGGCCCCAGGACUUCUGGGUCAGAUGACCGACGUGGGAAUCUGGUCGGUGUGCCAUAUCGCCAGGCAUCUCCAGACAGCUGAGGCUCAGAGAGCACAGGCCUGGGGCCGUCCUAUCUGGUGGAUGGGUUUCUGAGCAGGUGGACAUGCUGGGCCUUUCCAGUACAAGAGCUUGAUUAAAGAAAACUCACAGGGCGGGAAUUUAUUAGAGAUACUAGCAGAGGCGUUCCUUUGAGAUACCCGUACCUUAUAUGUCAUACGGAGUCUUCACUCACACACACGCCCUCAUCUUUCCUUAGGGGUGCCAACAGUUCCUGUGUGUAACCAGUAUAUACCAGGGUAACUGGACCUGGACCCCAGGGAGGGGGUGGUAACUGAGGCCUUCUUUAAAACGUGUGGUAGCAUUGAAGGCUUGCGGGAGUUGUGGGUCUUUCCUAGGAAUGGUACAUUCCCCAAGGUCAUUAGUUGCAAAUCCAUCACAAGUUCUUUUUUUCUUUUCUUUUCUUUUUUUUUUUUUUUUUGAGACAGAGUUUUGCUCUUGUUGCCCAGGCUGGAGUGCAGUGGCGCAAUCUUGGCUCACUGCAACCUCCACCUCCCGGGUUCAAGCAAUUCUCCUGCCUCAGCCUCCUGAGUAGCUGGGAUUACAGGCAUGCGCCACCAUGCCCGGCUUAUUUUGUAUUUUUAGUAGACAUGGGGUUUCCCCAUGUUGGUCAGACUGGUCUCGAACUCCUGACCUCAGGUGAUCCACCUGCCUCGGCCUCCCAAAGUGCUGGGAUUACAGGUGGGAGCCACCGCGCCCAGCCCACAAGUUCUAAUCCAUAUGGAAUUGUUUUCUUUUUCCUCCCCGUGAAGACCUUCAGUGGGAUGAGCCAAGAGGCUGGGGACUGCCGUGAGACUUAGAAGGGACACCCCAGAGCCUGGUGCUGUCUCUAGCUCCUCACACAGACUCUCCUCCUCUCCUCCGGGACUCACUGCAGGGAAUGGUUUCUGGGGAGGCGUGAUGAAGAGGCCACUUCAGGAUACAUUGAGUUUGAAGUGCCCUUGAGACCUCCAGGGGGUGACAUAGAGGAUCUUCAGGGUCAGAGGAAAGGUGGCUUUAGGCAUAGUUAGCAUGAGGAUGGUGAAUCAAAAUGACAGGUGUGGGGAUGGACAUGGGUCUGUGGACAUGGAUGGGUGAGGAGUCAGGGCCGACAGGUGUGGACGUGGGUGGAUGAGGGGGCAGGGCUGACAGGUGUGGACGUGGAUGGGUGAGGGCAGGGCUGACAGGUGUGGACGUGGGUGGGUGAGGGCAGGGCUGACAGAUGUGGACGUGGGUGGGUGAGGGCAGGGCUGACAGGUGUGGACGUGGGUGGGUGAGGGCAGGGCUGACAGGUGUGGACGUGGGUGGGUGAGGGCAGGGCUGACAGGUGUGGACGUGGGUGGGUGAGGGGGCAGGGCUGACGGAUGUGGGUGGGCUAAGGGGACAGCGCUGACAGGUGUGGGCCUGGUGGGCAGAGGGGACAGUGCUGGUGGAGCCCCGUGUUAACAGCCAGGUGGAAAGGGGCAUGUGUGCCUGCAGCUGGGAAAGGCGGAAACCCAGGAGUGGAGAGAUUUGAGAAGAGGCACCGUAGGACUGCAUAUCCCCGGGGGGUCCAGGACAGGAAAGCUGAAAUGCUUUUUGAGUGGGGGCGUGGGUGGGUCGUGGGUCUGUGGUGGUGUGAGCCGCUGCUCCUCAGAGUAGUCCUGGCUUCCUUGUUGUGUAGCAGUAGGAACACCUUUGCAUUGUCCCAAACGGAAGUAGCCCAAUUUGCACACUCAAUCAUAUCGUGCCCUAGGACAUCUCGGAGAGCUGAUGGGGCUGAAGCCAGCAUGGUGGGGCAGGAGAGGUGGGGUGGGGGGCUGGAGGGGAAGAGGAGGGGGACAGAGCUGCGCCCACACAGGCAGGGGCUGUGGGGUAGGGGCUGAGUUACAAAUGGGCUGAGAAAAGGACCCUCAUAUAGGGUGCUGG
RNAcentral lists this long non-coding RNA (2299 nucleotides) under Homo sapiens (human). Its description in RNAcentral is "non-protein coding lnc-RPS6KA2-2:1". The record is from RNAcentral. Lineage: Eukaryota; Metazoa; Chordata; Mammalia; Primates; Hominidae.